UACGUAGGGGGCAAGCGUUGUCCGGAUUUAUUGGGCGUAAAGAGCGUGUAGGCGGCUUGGUAGGUCCAUUGUGAAAACUCGGAGGCUCAACCUCGAGACGCCGGUGGAAACCAUCAGGCUAGAGUCCGGAAGAGGAGAGUGGAAUUCCUGGUGUAGCGGUGAAAUGCGCAGAUAUCAGGAAGAACACCCGUGGCUAAGGCGGCUCUCUAGUACGGUACUGACGCUGAGACGCGAAAGCGUGGGGAGCGAACAGG
Molecule: ribosomal RNA, 254 nt
Filed under: uncultured bacterium
Lineage: Bacteria
Description: partial 16S ribosomal RNA
Rfam family: Bacterial small subunit ribosomal RNA
Source: RNAcentral